Molecule: transfer RNA, 90 nt
Filed under: Facklamia hominis
Lineage: Bacteria; Bacillati; Bacillota; Bacilli; Lactobacillales; Aerococcaceae
Also listed under: 3 other names
Description: tRNA-Ser
Rfam family: tRNA
About the family: Transfer RNA (tRNA) molecules are approximately 80 nucleotides in length. Their secondary structure includes four short double-helical elements and three loops (D, anti-codon, and T loops).
Source: RNAcentral
GGAGAGUUGGCCGAGUGGCUGAAGGCGGACGCCUCGAAAGCGUUUAAACGGUGUUGAGCCGUUUCGCGGGUUCAAAUCCCGCACUCUCUU